UGUAACGGGGCUAAACCAUGCACCGAAGCUGCGGCAGCGAACGUAUCACCCAAGACAACUUUACGGAGUUGACGAUUGACGGAGCGAAGCGACGUCAAAGCGUUCAUUAAAGUCGAGUUGGCUUAGGGAUACGUUCGUUGGGUAGGGGAGCGUUCUGUAAGCCUGUGAAGGUGUGUCGUGAGGCAUGCUGGAGGUAUCAGAAGUGCGAAUGCUGACAUAAGUAACGAUAAAGCGGGUGAAAAGCCCGCUCGCCGGAAGACCAAGGGUUCCUGUCCAACGUUAAUCGGGGCAGGGUGAGUCGACCCCUAAGGCGAGGCCGAAAGGCGUAGUCGAUGGGAAACGGGUUAAUAUUCCCGUACUUGGUGUUACUGCGAAGGGGGGACGGAGAAGGCUAUGUUGGCCGGGCGACGGUUGUCCCGGUUUAAGCGUGUAGGUGUGUGUUCCAGGUAAAUCCGGUUCACUUUAACACUGAGGCGUGACGACGAGGCACUACGGUGCUGAAGCAACAAAUGCCCUGCUUCCAGGAAAAGCCUCUAAGCAUCAGGUAACAC
Molecule: ribosomal RNA, 551 nt
Filed under: Salmonella enterica
Lineage: Bacteria; Pseudomonadati; Pseudomonadota; Gammaproteobacteria; Enterobacterales; Enterobacteriaceae
Also listed under: 2 other names
Description: partial 23S ribosomal RNA
Rfam family: Bacterial large subunit ribosomal RNA
Source: RNAcentral